Molecule: ribosomal RNA, 506 nt
Filed under: uncultured bacterium
Lineage: Bacteria
Description: partial 16S ribosomal RNA
Rfam family: Bacterial small subunit ribosomal RNA
Source: RNAcentral
AGUGAACGCUGGCGGUAGGCCUAACACAUGCAAGUCGAACGGCAGCACAGGAGAGCUUGCUCUCUGGGUGGCGAGUGGCGGACGGGUGAGGAAUACAUCGGAAUCUACUUUUUCGUGGGGGAUAACGUAGGGAGACUUACGCUAAUACCGCAUACGACCUACGGGUGAAAGCAGGGGAUCUUCGGACCUUGCGCGAUUGAAUGAGCCGAUGUCGGAUUAGCUAGUUGGCGGGGUAAAGGCCCACCAAGGCGACGAUCCGUAGCUGGUCUGAGAGGAUGAUCAGCCACACUGGAACUGAGACACGGUCCAGACUCCUACGGGAGGCAGCAGUGGGGAAUAUUGGACAAUGGGCGCAAGCCUGAUUCAGCCAUACCGCGUGGGUGAAGAAGGCCUUCGGGUUGUAAAGCCCUUUUGUUGGGAAAGAAAUCCAGCUGGUUAAUACCCGGUUGGGAUGACGGCACCCAAAGAAUAAGCACCGGCUAACUUCGUGCUAGCCGCCGCGGUAA